CAAUCCAUGAGUAAAGUGGCGACCGGGUGAGUAACACGUGACUAACCUACCUUCGAGUGGGGAAUAACUCCGGGAAACCGGGGCUAAUACCGCAUAACAUCGCAAGAUCAAAGCAGCAAUGCGCUUGAAGAGGGGGUCGCGGCUGAUUAGCUAGUUGGCGGGGUAACGGCCCACCAAGGCGAAGAUCGGUAUCCGGCCUGAGAGGGCGCACGGACACACUGGAACUGAAACACGGUCCAG
Molecule: ribosomal RNA, 240 nt
Filed under: uncultured bacterium
Lineage: Bacteria
Description: partial 16S ribosomal RNA
Rfam family: Bacterial small subunit ribosomal RNA
Source: RNAcentral